AUUAUUCACAAGUUUUUGUUUUUAGAGAUGAGAUUCUUUGUGAUAUUAAACUAGAAACAGACGAUUGUUGAAUUAUAUUCGGCCACAAAGUAGUUCUAGCAUCGGCUAGUCCAUAUUUCCGUCCAAUGUUCACACAUUUUUCAGAAAAAAAUCAAGAUCAAGUUACUAUCAGGCAGUUGGACUAUAGUGCCCUACAGCUCUUAAUAGACUUUAUUUAUUCUAGGAAAAUCUCGAUCACUGAAAAAAAUGUGAAGAUUUUGUUGCCCGAAUCGAAUCUUUUGCAGUUACAAGAAGUCAAAAACGUGAGUUGUGAUUUUUUACAGGCACAAAUAUGUCCUACAAAAGUUAUUGGGAUAAUAAUUGCUUUAGCUGAUUUACAUAGCUGUACGAAAUUGUUAACAAGUUCAGAAUUAUAUAUUCAACAACAAUUUUCGUACGAUAUAUGAUUUAUUAUCAUGAUUCUACAAAAAAUUGUAUUUAUUAUUGUUAAUACAUGAUUCAUAGGGAGGUGGUAGAAGGAAAUGAAUUCCUGUCCUUGUCAUCCGAGCAAAUAGUUAAGUUGAUCUCCAGUGAUGAACUUAAAGCUCCAUCUGAAGAAAAAAUAUUUGAAAGUGUUAUUCGGUAGGUAAAACAUGAUUUAGAUUCCAGAAAACAAAUUUUGCCCCAAUUAAUGGAACAUGUGCGUUUACCAUUAACAUUGAAAGAUUACAUAUCAAAAAAUGUAGUUGAUGAACCUCUUCUUAAUAAUUAUUUUAAAUGUAAGUUUAUUUACUCAAUAUGAUUUUUGACAGAUUAAUUUUUUUUUUAUAUAUUUAUAAUUUUUUAAGGUAAAGAUUACGUAUUCGAAGCAUUACGUUUUAAUUUUAUUAAGUCAGAAGAACUUAUCACAAUUCCACAUAACAUUCGGACAAAACCAAGACAGCCUGGUGGUACACACAAAGUUAUCUUAGUUGUUUGUGGAAGAGGGCACGGUAGUGUAGAGUUAGAUAGUACAGAAUGGUAUGACCCAAAAAUCAACCAAUGGCAGACUGGACCAAAAAUGAUUACACCACGUUACGCUGGUGGUCUAGCUGUAGUAAAUGAUAAUUUUGUGUUAUGUUUGGGUGGUAGCAAUUCCGAAUCAAUUUUACAAUCAGUUGAUGGGAUAGAUUUAUAUUCAGAUUCACCUCGUUGGAGACCAACCAAUGACAUGUUAAUUAAACGUCAUUGGUUUGCCGUUGGCGUGAUUAAUAAUUAUAUUUGUGUUGUAAGUUAAAUUUAAAUUUAAAACAAUCGAGGAAAGAAAUAGAGACAUUUGAUCAGUUGGUGUUUCGUUUAAGGGUUAGGCAUAUAUAAAUAACAACAUUGAACGCAAGCAUUAACGGAUCAAAUGGCUAGAAUAAUCUCAAUAAGAAAAUUAUACUAAUAUAGUCUCGUUGAUUUAGUCAAUAACGUGGAUUGUUGCUUUAAUAAUUAGCACAAUGGGCGUUAGGUAUUCAAUCAGCAAGGUUAAAAUAAAUACAACAGUUUAAUAAAUUUAAUUCAUUUUAAUGUUGAAAUAGAUCAGAAAAUACAAUUUUAAUUGAGUAAAUUACUUCUGGUCGGUACCUGUAAUAAUAAGAUAAAAGCACGCGAUAAUUAAAUAAUAUAG
Molecule: long non-coding RNA, 1630 nt
Organism: Acyrthosiphon pisum (pea aphid)
Lineage: Eukaryota; Metazoa; Arthropoda; Insecta; Hemiptera; Aphididae
Exons: 4
Source: RefSeq, a predicted model, not a curated record